Molecule: long non-coding RNA, 246 nt
Filed under: Lathyrus oleraceus (garden pea)
Lineage: Eukaryota; Viridiplantae; Streptophyta; Magnoliopsida; Fabales; Fabaceae
Description: Pisum sativum (pea) long non-coding RNA (PSAT_LNC009490)
Source: RNAcentral
CUUGCUUCACUAAGCGUCGCAAAGGAGAGGAUGAAGAAUCGUUGUUGUUGUUCAUCGCGGAGUAUUAUCGAUAGCGAAGAGUGGAGCUUGUGUGUUGCGUUCUGAGAUGAAGCUCGGAGGUUCCGCUCGUGUGCGUUGAGAUGAAGAUGAAGAUUGAAGGAUAAUCUUCGAUUCUUGUUGGCUUUCAAGCUUCGAUGCGGUUUUCAGGUAUGUUUCACUCGUUUUCUUUCUCUAUUUUCGUUUAUG